GACGAACGCUGGCGGCGUGCUUAACACAUGCCAGUCGAACGGAAAGGCCCUGCUUUUGUGGGGUGCUCGAGUGGCGAACGGGUGAGUAACACGUGAGUAACCUGCCCUUGACUUUGGGAUAACUUCAGGAAACUGGGGCUAAUACCGGAUAGGAGCUCCUGCUGCAUGGUGGGGGUUGGAAAGUUUCGGCGGUUGGGGAUGGACUCGCGGCUUAUCAGCUUGUUGGUGGGUAGUGGCUUACCAAGGCUUUGACGGGUAGCCGGCCUGAGAGGGUGACCGGCCACAUUGGGACUGAGAUACGGCCCAGACUCCUACGGGAGGCAGCAGUGGGGAAUAUUGCACAAUGGGCGGAAGCCUGAUGCAGCAACGCCGCGUGCGGGAUGACGGCCUGCGGGUUGUAAACCGCUUUCGCCUGUGACGAAGCGUGAGUGACGGUAAUGGGUAAAGAAGCACCGGCUAACUACGUG
RNAcentral lists this ribosomal RNA (467 nucleotides) under uncultured bacterium. Its description in RNAcentral is "partial 16S ribosomal RNA". It matches the Rfam family "Bacterial small subunit ribosomal RNA", at positions 28 to 507 of the family's 1533-position model. The record is from RNAcentral.